GAUGAACGCUGGCGGCGUGCUUAACACAUGCAAGUCGAACGGAAAGGCCCUGAUCUUGUGGGGUGCUCGUGUGGCGAACGGGUGAGUAACACGUGAGUAACCUGCCCUUGACUUUGGGAUAACAUCAGGAAAAUGGGGCUCAUACCGGAUAGGAGCUCCUGCUGCACGGUGGGGGAUGGAAAGUUACGGCGGUAGUGGCUGGACUCGCGGCUUAUCAGCUUGUUGGUCGAGUAGUGGCUUACCAAGGCUGCGACGGGUAGGCGGCCUGGGAGGGUGACCGGCGACAUGGGGACUAAGAGACGGACCAGUCGGCUACGGGAGGCAGCAGUGGGGAAUAUUGCACAAUGGGCGGGAGCGUGAGGCAGCAACGUCGCGUGCGUGAUGACGGCCUUCGGGUGAUAAACCGCUUUCGCCGGAGACGAAGCGUGAGUGACGGUAAUGGGUAAAGAAGCACCGGCUAACUACGUG
RNAcentral lists this ribosomal RNA (468 nucleotides) under uncultured bacterium. RNAcentral's name for it is "partial 16S ribosomal RNA". It matches the Rfam family "Bacterial small subunit ribosomal RNA", at positions 28 to 507 of the family's 1533-position model. The record is from RNAcentral.